UACGUAGGGUGCGAGCGUUAAUCGGAAUUACUGGGCGUAAAGCGUGCGCAGGCGGCGCGUUAAGACAGGUGUGAAAGCCCCGAGCUUAACUUGGGAAUUGCGCUUGUGACUGGCGUGCUGGAGUGUGGCAGAGGGAGGUGGAAUUCCACGUGUAGCAGUGAAAUGCGUAGAGAUGUGGAGGAACACCGAUGGCGAAGGCAGCCUCCUGGGCCAGCACUGACGCUCAUGCACGAAGCCAGGGGAGCAAACGGGA
RNAcentral lists this ribosomal RNA (253 nucleotides) under uncultured bacterium. RNAcentral's name for it is "partial 16S ribosomal RNA". It matches the Rfam family "Bacterial small subunit ribosomal RNA", at positions 524 to 777 of the family's 1533-position model. The record is from RNAcentral.